UAGUGGUUUGGGUGCAGAAGACUGGUGGAUUAAGUAAGUGGUCUACUUUAGUUAAAUUCGACUGGGCGUUCCUCCGCCGUCAUCCCAAGCAAUAUGUCUCCGGUGGCCGCAGCCACUAGCUUCCAUGGCCUCCCCUUCCCUGAAUUCCCUCAAUACCCCUCUCUUCCCCGUCAUCACCUUCUCAUCCCUAAACCACCCUUUUCCCCUCUCUCCCACCCCACAACAUUUCUGAAGUUCCGGCCGGGUCAGCAUUAUCAAACAAGGCUUUUCAUUCGCCGUCCUCAGUACUCAAUUACAACAAAACCGCAAGAAUUUAGUGAUACUACCUAUGAUCGAGAGCUUCGGUACGUGCUUGAGCUUGCUACAGACGCUGAAUUAUAUGAGCUUGAGCAAAUUUUAUUUGGUACAAGUUAUUUUAGUCCGUUAUUGAAGUCGAUUGCAAAAAAGGAAGAUAUUGAUUACUAUAUGAUUGGAGAGGACCCGGAGGAAAGAGAUGAGUAUAUAUCCAUGUUGGAGAAGAGAUUCUUGUACCUUGCUGCCGAUGCGCGCUCUGUUUUAAGGGGUUGGAGGCCUUCCUAUAGGAACGUACUUCUUGGAGUGAGGAAAAAGUUAAAUAUACCUUGUUCAUCUAAAUUGGCUACCGAGGAUCUAGAAGCAGAGAUUUUUCUUCACAUGCUGCAAGACUAUUCAGGACAAGCAUCUGGCAGCUUAAAUGGGUCACAGGAAAAUGUGAAAAAUUCUGAUGGCAAUGGUACUUUAGAACAUGGACUCAGUCAGUGGAAGGUCCAAACAGCUACUGCUUUAAGGGAUGGGGCUGCAGAUCUCAGAUCAAUGAUAUUGAAGGGUGGCGGGGUGCUCACACUGGGCAAAUUGUAUGAGCUGCUAGCAAAGGGAUUAUCUGGAAAGAUGUUCCAGGAAGCUGCCAAGUAUCAGCUGAAGAAUGAAUUGAUUAAAGAGGGGGCAAAUUUGGCAGCUGUCAAUCUUGAAUCCAGAGCGGCUUUGCAUGCUGCAAAGCAGGUAAAGAGUGUAGCAGGUGCAGCCUCCCGAUAUCUGGGGAUUAGGAGUAUGAUGACACUUUUGGGCCCAAUACAAUACAAGAUUCAUGAUGUGAUGACAAAUGGUAGUUAUUGUACUGAUGAUACCAGUGUUAACAUCUGAGUGUUUCUUGUGGAUACAAAACAACAAACCAAAUGAGAGGAAUGUUCUUCUCACAGAAUGUUCUUCUCACAGUAAGGCUGCCAAAGCAUCUCAAAAGGUGCAAAGAAUUAUGUUACUCUGUUUUACAGGAAGUUACAUUUGUAAUCAGGCUCUGGGGAACUUUUCUCGCGGAUGUUGUCAUUCAAAUGCUCGGAACUGAUUAUGCUAGAAUCCUGCGGGCCAUCUAUGCAUUAGCACAGAUUCGCAUCCUCCACACCAAAUAGGUAUCCACAUGAUAUUAACUGAGAGCGGCCUGUGAAAAUUGUACAGCACGUCUUGUCAGAACUGACAUCUUGUUUUGCUUCACGUUGGAUUCCACCAAGGUAUUUGCUGAAAAGUUAUCCGCAUGUUGCAACUGGGAAGGUGGUUCCACUAUUUAAUCUGGCUAUUGUAUAUAGUACACAUAGACAGCUCUAGUUUCGUUCUUCAGAAAUUUUUUAUAGGAGAAGCUGGUUGUAUAUGUCUUAUUCGACUGCAGGACUGCUUUGACUGCAUUAUCUUAGUUAAGGCACACACUUUGCCUAAUAUGAGUACUUCUGCAAGAUAUUAUUCCAAGUUCUGUUACUUCCUUUGUCCCAAAAUUUCGAGGAUAGUUGUCUUUUGCUUCUUUUUUCCUCCUUGAUUAAUGUAUGUUGUCUUCUGUA
Molecule: non-coding RNA, 1841 nt
Organism: Coffea arabica (coffee)
Lineage: Eukaryota; Viridiplantae; Streptophyta; Magnoliopsida; Gentianales; Rubiaceae
Source: RefSeq, a predicted model, not a curated record